Molecule: ribosomal RNA, 787 nt
Filed under: uncultured bacterium
Lineage: Bacteria
Description: bacterial SSU rRNA
Rfam family: Bacterial small subunit ribosomal RNA
Source: RNAcentral
CGAAGCGCUUUGCCGGAACCCCUUCGGGGAGGAAGGCAUUGCUACUGAGUGGCGGACGGGUGAGUAACGCGUGGGCAACCUGCCCCAUACAGGGGGAUAACAGUUAGAAAUGACUGCUAACACCGCAUAAGCGCACAGGGCCGCAUGACCCGGUGUGAAAAACUCCGGUGGUAUGGGAUGGGCCCGCGUCUGAUUAGCCAGUUGGCGGGGUAACGGCCCACCAAAGCGACGAUCAGUAGCCGACCUGAGAGGGUGACCGGCCACAUUGGGACUGAGACACGGCCCAAACUCCUACGGGAGGCAGCAGUGGGGAAUAUUGCACAAUGGGGGGAACCCUGAUGCAGCGACGCCGCGUGAGCGAAGAAGUAUCUCGGUAUGUAAAGCUCUAUCAGCAGGGAAGAAAAAUGACGGUACCUGACUAAGAAGCCCCGGCUAACUACGUGCCAGCAGCCGCGGUAAUACGUAGGGGGCAAGCGUUAUCCGGAUUUACUGGGUGUAAAGGGAGCGCAGGCGGCGCGGCAAGUCUGAUGUGAAAGCCCGGGGCUCAACCCCGGGACUGCAUUGGAAACUGUCGCGCUCGAGUGUCGGAGAGGUAAGUGGAAUUCCUAGUGUAGCGGUGAAAUGCGUAGAUAUUAGGAGGAACACCAGUGGCGAAGGCGGCUUACUGGACGACAACUGACGCAGAGGCUCGAAAGCGUGGGGAGCAAACAGGAUUAGAUACCCUGGUAGUCCACGCCGUANACGAUGAAUACUAGGUGUCGGGGGGNACAGCCCCCCGGUGCCGCAG